Molecule: transfer RNA, 84 nt
Filed under: Parcubacteria group bacterium
Lineage: Bacteria
Also listed under: 1 other name
Description: tRNA-Leu
Rfam family: tRNA
About the family: Transfer RNA (tRNA) molecules are approximately 80 nucleotides in length. Their secondary structure includes four short double-helical elements and three loops (D, anti-codon, and T loops). Further hydrogen bonds mediate the characteristic L-shaped molecular structure. tRNAs have two regions of fundamental functional importance: the anti-codon, which is responsible for specific mRNA codon recognition, and the 3' end, to which the tRNAs corresponding amino acid is attached (by aminoacyl-tRNA synthetases). tRNAs cope with the degeneracy of the genetic code in two manners: having more than one tRNA (with a specific anti-codon) for a particular amino acid; and 'wobble' base-pairing, i.e. permitting non-standard base-pairing at the 3rd anti-codon position.
Source: RNAcentral
GCCCGGGUGGCGGAAUUGGCAUACGCGAAGGACUUAAAAUCCUUUGUCUUCACAGACUUGUGGGUUCGAGUCCCACCCCGGGCA